UACGAAGGGGGCUAGCGUUGCUCGGAAUCACUGGGCGUAAAGCGCACGUAGGCGGCUUUUUAAGUCAGGGGUGAAAUCCUGGAGCUCAACUCCAGAACUGCCUUCGAUACUGGCGAUCUCGAGUUCGGGAGAGGUGAGUGGAACUGCGAGUGUAGAGGUGAAAUUCGUAGAUAUUCGCAAGAACACCAGUGGCGAAGGCGGCUCACUGGCCCGAUACUGACGCUGAGGUGCGAAAGCGUGGGGAGCAAACAGG
RNAcentral lists this ribosomal RNA (253 nucleotides) under uncultured bacterium. RNAcentral describes it as "partial 16S ribosomal RNA". It matches the Rfam family "Bacterial small subunit ribosomal RNA", at positions 524 to 776 of the family's 1533-position model. The record is from RNAcentral.